AUACGUAGGGGGCGAGCGUUGUCCGGAAUGAUUGGGCGUAAAGGGCGCGUAGGCGGCCCGGUAAGUCUGGAGUGAAAGUCCUGUUUUUAAGAUGGGAAUUGCUUUGGAUACUGUCGGGCUUGAGUGCAGGAGAGGUAAGUGGAAUUCCCAGUGUAGCGGUGAAAUGGGUAGAGAUUGGGAGGAACACCAGUGGCGAAGGCGACUUACUGGACUGUAACUGACGCUGAGGCGCGAAAGUGUGGGGAGCAAACAGGAUUAGAUACCCUGGUAGUCCACACUGUAAACGAUGAAUGCUAGGUGUAGGGGGUAUCGACCCCUUCUGUGCCGCAGUCAACACAAUAAGCAUUCCACCUGGGGAGUACGUUCGCAAGAAUGAAACUCAAAGGAAUUGACGGGG
Molecule: ribosomal RNA, 397 nt
Filed under: uncultured bacterium
Lineage: Bacteria
Description: partial 16S ribosomal RNA
Rfam family: Bacterial small subunit ribosomal RNA
Source: RNAcentral